Molecule: ribosomal RNA, 641 nt
Filed under: uncultured Alphaproteobacteria bacterium
Lineage: Bacteria; Pseudomonadati; Pseudomonadota; Alphaproteobacteria
Description: bacterial SSU rRNA
Rfam family: Bacterial small subunit ribosomal RNA
Source: RNAcentral
AGAGAUCAUGGCUCAGGAUGAACGCUAGCGGCAGGCCUAAUACAUGCAAGUCGAACGGGGUAGCAAUACCCAGUGGCGCACGGGUGCGUAACGCGCAUGCAACCUACCUCAAACUGGGGGAUAGCCUCCCGAAAGGGAGAUUAAUACCGCAUAAGACAACACGAGGGCAUCCGAGGGUUGUUAAAGAUUCAUCGGUUUGAGAUGGGCAUGCGUGCCAUUAGCUAGUUGGUGGUGUAACGGACCACCAAGGCGACGAUGGCUAGGGGUUCUGAGAGGACGGUCCCCCACACUGGCACUGAGAUACGGGCCAGACUCCUACGGGAGGCAGCAGUAGGGAAUAUUGGGCAAUGGGCGGAAGCCUGACCCAGCCAUGCCGCGUGCAGGAUGAAGGCCUUCUGGGUUGUAAACUGCUUUUACAGGGGAAGAAAACACCCAUGCGUGGGGAACUGACGGUACCCUGGGAAUAAGCACCGGCUAACUCCGUGCCAGCAGCCGCGGUAAUACGGAGGGUGCAAGCGUUGUCCGGAUUUAUUGGGUUUAAAGGGUGCGUAGGCGGCUUCUUAAGUCAGCGGUGAAAGCCCGGGGCUCAACCCCGGAACUGCCGUUGAUACUGGGAGGCUUGAUUCUGGACUUAGGUUGUU